Molecule: ribosomal RNA, 494 nt
Filed under: uncultured bacterium
Lineage: Bacteria
Description: bacterial SSU rRNA
Rfam family: Bacterial small subunit ribosomal RNA
Source: RNAcentral
AGAGUUUGAUCCUGGCUCAGAGUGAACGCUGGCGGCGUGCCUAACACAUGCAAGUCGAACGAUGAUGGAGAGCUUGCUCUCCUGAUUAGUGGCGCACGGGUGAGUAUACCAUAGAUAAUGUACCCCUUAGUUCGGGAUAGCCACUGGAAACGGUGAUUAAUACCGGAUACUCCUUCUCAUUAUAAGAUGAGUCGGGAAAGUUUUUUCGCUAAGGGAUCAGUCUAUGUCCUAUCAGCUAGUUGGUGAGGUAAUGGCUCACCAAGGCUAUGACGGGUAUCUGGUUUGAGAGGAUGAUCAGACACACUGGAACUGAGACACGGUCCAGACUCCUACGGGAGGCAGCAGUGAGGAAUAUUGCACAAUGGAGGAAACUCUGAUGCAGCAACGCCGCGUGGAGGAUGACGCAUUUCGGUGUGUAAACUCCUUUUAAGAGGGAAGAUAAUGACGGUACCUCUUGAAUAAGCACCGGCUAACUCCGUGCCAGCCGCCGCGGU